RNAcentral lists this ribosomal RNA (464 nucleotides) under uncultured bacterium. RNAcentral describes it as "partial 16S ribosomal RNA". It matches the Rfam family "Bacterial small subunit ribosomal RNA", at positions 28 to 506 of the family's 1533-position model. The record is from RNAcentral.
GAUGAACGCUGGCGGCGUGCUUAACACAUGCAAGUCGAACGGAAAGGCCACAGCUUGCUGUGGUACUCGAGUGGCGAACGGGUGAGUAACACGUGGGUGAUCUGCCCUGUACUUCGGGAUAAGCUUGGAAACUGGGUCUAAUACCGGAUAGGAAUCACAUGUGGGUGUGUGGUUGGAAAGCUUUUGCGGUAUGGGAUGAGCUCGCGGCCUAUCAGCUUGUUGGUGGGGUAAUGGCCUACCAAGGCGUCGACGGGUAGCCGGCCUGAGAGGGUGUACGGCCACAUUGGGACUGAGAUACGGCCCAGACUCCUACGGGAGGCAGCAGUGGGGAAUAUUGCACAAUGGGCGCAAGCCUGAUGCAGCGACGCCGCGUGGGGGAUGACGGCCUUCGGGUUGUAAACUCCUUUCGUCAGGGACGAAGCGAAAGUGACGGUACCUGGAUAAGAAGCACCGGCUAACUACGU